Molecule: ribosomal RNA, 442 nt
Filed under: uncultured bacterium
Lineage: Bacteria
Description: bacterial SSU rRNA
Rfam family: Bacterial small subunit ribosomal RNA
Source: RNAcentral
UACGGAAGGCAGCGGUGGGGAAUAUUGCACAAUGGGCGCAAGCCUGAUGCAGCCAUGCCGCGUGUAUGAAGAAGGCCUUCGGGUUGUAAAGUACUUUCAGUCGUGAGGAAGGUGUUAAGGUUAAUAACCUUAGCAAUUGACGUUAGCGACAGAAGAAGCACCGGCUAACUCCGUGCCAGCAGCCGCGGUAAUACGGAGGGUGCGAGCGUUAAUCGGAAUUACUGGGCGUAAAGGGCACGCAGGCGGUUAAUUAAGUUGGAUGUGAAAUCCCCGGGCUUAACCUGGGAAUGGCAUUCAAGACUGGUUAGCUAGAGUCUUGUAGAGGGGGUAGAAUUCCAUGUGUAGCGGUGAAAUGCGUAGAGAUGUGGAGGAAUACCGGUGGCGAAGGCGGCCCCUGGGACAAAGGACUGACGCUCAUGUGCGAAAGCGUGGGGAGCGAAAC